RNAcentral lists this ribosomal RNA (254 nucleotides) under uncultured bacterium. RNAcentral's name for it is "partial 16S ribosomal RNA". It matches the Rfam family "Bacterial small subunit ribosomal RNA", at positions 524 to 776 of the family's 1533-position model. The record is from RNAcentral.
UACGUAGGGGGCAAGCGUUGUCCGGAAUUAUUGGGCGUAAAGAGCUCGUAGGCGGUUUGUCGCGUCUGCUGUGAAAACCCGAGGCUCAACCUCGGGCCUGCAGUGGGUACGGGCAGACUAGAGUGCGGUAGGGGAGAUUGGAAUUCCUGGUGUAGCGGUGGAAUGCGCAGAUAAUCAGGAGGAACACCAAUAGCGAAGGCAGCUCGCUGGGACGUUACUGACACUGAGAUGCGAAAGCGUGGGGAGCAAACAGG